UACGUAGGGGCCUAGCGUUGUCCGGAUUUAUUGGGCGUAAAGAGCUCGUAGGCGGUUCGGCAAGUCGGAUGUGAAAUCUCCACGCUUAACGUGGAGGGGCCAUUCGAAACUGCCGUGACUCGAGUCCGGUAGGGGAGUGUGGAAUUCCCGGUGUAGCGGUGAAAUGCGCAGAUAUCAGGAAGAACACCCGUGGCGAAGGCGGCUCUCUGGGACGGUACUGACGCUGAGACGCGAAAGCGUGGGGAGCGAACAGG
RNAcentral lists this ribosomal RNA (254 nucleotides) under uncultured bacterium. Its description in RNAcentral is "partial 16S ribosomal RNA". It matches the Rfam family "Bacterial small subunit ribosomal RNA", at positions 524 to 776 of the family's 1533-position model. The record is from RNAcentral.